This 523-nucleotide ribosomal RNA is filed under the name Atractotomus acaciae. RNAcentral's name for it is "eukaryotic LSU rRNA". It matches the Rfam family "Eukaryotic large subunit ribosomal RNA", at positions 666 to 1138 of the family's 3401-position model. Lineage: Eukaryota; Metazoa; Arthropoda; Insecta; Hemiptera; Miridae. The record is from RNAcentral.
CCAAGGAGUUUAGCGUGUACGCGAGUCAUUGGGUUCUAACGAAACCCAAAGGCGAAAUGAAAGUGAAGGGAACUUUACGUUUCUGAGGGAAGAUGAGUCGGUUACCCGCAAGGGGCCACUCCGCACUCCCGGGGCGUCUCUAUCUCAUUGCGAGAGGAGGCGCACCCAGAGCGUACACGCUGAUACCCGAAAGAUGGUGAACUAUGCCUGGCCAGGACGAAGCCAGGGGAAACCCUGGUGGAGGUCCGCAGCGAUUCUGACGUGCAAAUCGAUCGUCGGAGCUGGGUUUAGGGGCGAAAGACCAAUCGAACCAUCUAGUAGCUGGUUCCCUCCGAAGUUUCCCUCAGGAUAGCUUGCGCUCAUUCGAAACGAGUCUCAUCCGGUAGAGCGAAUGAUUAGAGGCCUUGGGGUCGAAACGAUCUCAACCUAUUCUCAAACUCCAAAUAGAUGAGAACUCCGGCUUUCUUGAAUGAAAAUUUUUGAAGCCGGGGGCUUGGAUCAGAGUGCCAAGUGGGCCAAUUUU